Long non-coding RNA from Vespa crabro (European hornet), 2203 nucleotides. RefSeq lists it as uncharacterized. The transcript has 3 exons. The record is from RefSeq and is a predicted model, not a curated record. NCBI's taxonomy places the organism in Eukaryota, Metazoa, Arthropoda, Insecta, Hymenoptera, Vespidae.
UCUGUUUUACAGUAUCUUUUCUUUAAACUGUAUCCCAGACUGACACCAAUGUCAAAGAUCAAGAGAAAUAUGGUAUUACUAAAGGUUUCCUUCGUUUAUUUGUUUGUUUGUUUGUUUGUUUGUUUACUUGUUUGUUUAUUUGUUUUGUUGUUUAUUCUCUCUUUUCUUUCUUUCCUUUUUUCGAUAGAUUUCAGUUUAUCCAAUCGAAUCCUUCCUUCUCUGAUCUUACACACUAAUACCUCUUAAUAUUCUCAUGUCAAUAUUUGACUUCAAACGAUCGAGAAUGUCAAACUUCGAAAUCAAAAAUGAUUAUUCAUAUGCAUAUAAUAUAUGUAUGUAUGUAAAUCGUUGAAGAAUUGAAAUCUUUCGACGUUUUUGAUUAGCCGUACGUUCUUUUCGAAAUUAUCAAGGACGUACAUAUAUAUAUAUAUAUAUGUGUUUAUUUAUAAAGAUUUUAUGUUUAUUAUCGACAGUCAUCUGAGUUUUCGUCCCGUUAAAAUCUUUUUUCGUAUCUUUAUUCCUUUUUUUUCUUCAAUUAUUUUUUUUUCUUUUCUGUUUUUUAGAUGGAGAACUACAUAAAUGCAUUGUAAAAUAUAGGAUAUAAUUCAUUGUAAAUAGGGUCGACGACCCUAUGGGUAUUCGCGUCGAUAAACCAAAACCGAUUUAAUGAACGGGUCGUGGCCGAGCAUCAAACCGCGUCAGUCUGCUUUUCUCUUGCUAUCUGGCUAGAGAUAUACGUAGGUAUUAAGCCACGUGCAAAAUAAUGCAUCGUCGUGGUGAUGUCCGCAGCUGUAGCUGCUGCCUGUGCAGCCUGGACACGUAUGUAGCUAUGAGUUCGAAGCUAUUCCAUCCUGUCAUCCUCUCUCUCUCUCUCUCUCUCUCUCUCUCUCUCUUUCUCUCUCUCUCUCUCUCUCUCUCUCUUUCUCUCUCUCUCUCUCUCUCUCUCUGUGUGUCUCUGUCACUGUCUCUCUUUCUCUCUCUCUCUUUCACUUUUUCUCUAUCUUUCUCUCUCUCUUUUGCCCUCUCGAGUUCACUCCUACAUAGGUGGACGGUUACACGCACAGUCGAUAGUUUCUCGACGUUCUCUCUUUCUCUCUCUCUCUUUCUCUCUCUCUCUUUCUCUCUCUCUCUCUCUCUUUCUCUCUCUUUUUCUCUCUCUACUUUAGGGUUAUAUUUAGGUGAACUCUGGUAUUAUCCAACGAACGUAGAAACGGACGUACAGACAACGAACGUCGCGGAGAGUGCUUUUACCAUCUUGUCCGUUAGAUCCGACGACGGUAGCCUGCGACGACGACGACGACGACGACGACGACGACGACGACGACGACAAUGAAGAAGAUAGCCUGCGGCACUCGUUCGAUAGAUCGAUAACAAGUCUCCAAUGAUGCUCUUAAAAUCGAACGAAUCUCCGACACUCCAUGUUUUAACUAUCCAUCCGAUAUACAUAGCUCUCGAUCCAACAAAUGAUCACGAUAAUCCAUUAAUCUAAUUAACAGAGAGUAGAGAGAGAGAGAGAGAGAGAGAGAGAGAGAAAGAGAGAUUACAAGUUGCCAAGGGUGGCCCAAUCCCUUAAGGUAUUAUUAUUAUUAUUAUUAUUAUGUUGUUUGUCCUUUAGAUUCCGAGAGAUAAUACGCAUCAAACAGGUAUCCUUUUAUUAUUAUUAUUAUUAUUAUUAUUAUUAUUAUUAUUAUUAUUAUUAUUAUUAUUAUUAUUUUGUUUUAUAUUAUUAUUAUUUUGUUAAUCUUAUAAGUUUGUUUUCUCUUCGUCAUGGCCAUAGAUUCUCCUCCAGUGGAAUUGUAUCGAUCGUAUUUUCUUACUACCAUUCUCGUUGGACAGUCUCGCUCUACUGUUACUACAUAGAAUCCGUGGUGUCCGUCUCGAUAAAUCGAUAUGUUCAUCCCGUACGAGCUAAGAGCAUCAAAGGGAAAGAAUAUUUCCCGCUCCUAUUUCGAGAUCCAAUCGAUUAUCCAACGAACUACGCAAAUAAAAUUUGAUUAACUUCCCGGAGGAAAGAGGAACGUCAUGUACAGUUCAUAUCAUUUAAAAAGUUAAUAAAAUCCGCCGUUCUGAAAGUUUGAAAGCUACUUUCGUAUGAAAAAUAUUCGUUAAUUUAGCGAAAAAUAUUAACGUCAAUUAAAUAAUUCGGAUGUUCGGUGCACGAAAACAAAAAAAAAAGAAAAAGAAGAAAGGAAAAACAGAAAGA